GAAUUCCAUACUUCUUGUUAUAUUUAUAACCAUAAAUUUUAUUUCCGCAUCUGAAUCGAGGUUCUCAAACGGGAGACGACACCGACGUGAUGCUGUAGGUGCCCUGGAUAUUGUCACAAACAAUGUCCAACCCAUUCACGCUGACGUUAAAAGUGACCAGGCGCUUUCAGAACAGGUAUUCAGAACUGUUACGACAUACAGGGAUCUUCAAGAGAAAAGCGUGCCACCUUAAAUGGCAACGCACAGAUGUUGCAGAUGCAACACCAGGUUUGCAAGCGGCAACACAUGGGCAGCGGUAAGCACUUACCUUAACUGCUGCCGUUUGCCUCUUGUUACAUAAAACCAUAAUAUAAUAAUAAAAAGUCCUUUACUCUCUGACCUUUUUAACUUACAUGGUAUUAUAAUAAAAUAGUCCUAAUAUUAAAUCUAAUGCACGUAGCAAAAUAAUAAAUUUAUGAGGAAAUUUAUCCUAAAAUUUAAUUAUCCAAAAAAAUAUGAUAAUAAUGAUACGGUAAAUGUAUGCAUAUGCAUACCUUUGGUCCGAAAAUGGACUUGUAUUAGGCACAGAAUCCUGAUCAGUAACAGUCUUUUAAAUCAAACAGAUAUUUGUGGCUUAGAUUAUUACAAUAAUAAUAAAAUGUACAAACGCUCUAUUAUAAAGAACGAGCCCGUUCUAGCUCUAGGAAAUAUUUGCGACUAUCAAACGCAGGAACAUGGUACUGAGAGCCAUGUUU
Pieris brassicae (large cabbage white) is the source of this 734-nucleotide long non-coding RNA. RefSeq lists it as uncharacterized. NCBI's taxonomy places the organism in Eukaryota, Metazoa, Arthropoda, Insecta, Lepidoptera, Pieridae. The transcript is spliced from 3 exons. The record is from RefSeq and is a predicted model, not a curated record.